GCUGGAGAUGCUUUUCCUGCCACUUUGUCAGGGCAGGAGAUGGCAAAGCUGUGCUCUGCAAGGCGUCAAGGCUGAUGUUUGGGGAGGAGAGCUCAGGGAGAACACCUUCCCCACAGACUGCAGCAGAGCACUGAUAUUCUGGUCAAGCUCCUCCAAUUCCAGCAUGGAUGGCUCCUUGGUGGUCCCCAAAGAUGGCUGAUUCAAUCAGUCUACCAAGAAUAAACCAGGAGAGUAUUUCAUAAAGCACACAGCAAGAGUGCCACAAAGAACAUCAGAACUUUCUCAGUGGGAAACAAUGAUGUCCAAGCCCCUUUUUCACCUCUCUUGCUUAUCAGGAUCUUGGUCCCUCAGGCCUCAGGAGGGAUGGUGAAUGCUGGGCUUGGUGUCUGUGUCUCCUGGAGGGAAAAAUGGCUUGGCCAUGUCUGGCCCUUGCUCUGUGCUUGUCCCAGACCAGCUGAGGAGUCCUCAGCCAUCACUGAGGCCCCAGCUACAAACAGGAAUAAUUAAAAAACCCUAACGAGCUCUGAGCACCUCGAGCAUUGCCUUUUGUUGGCCACAGUAGUUGUGAGAGUGAUAAAGUGACAGCCCUGCCACAGUGCAUCAGCUUUUGCAGCCCCAGGUGCCGCUGUCAGCUGCCACAGCAGGAUGUGGUGGGAAGGGAGGAGGAGGAG
Zonotrichia albicollis (white-throated sparrow) is the source of this 671-nucleotide non-coding RNA. The record is from RefSeq and is a predicted model, not a curated record. NCBI's taxonomy places the organism in Eukaryota, Metazoa, Chordata, Aves, Passeriformes, Passerellidae.